RNAcentral lists this ribosomal RNA (563 nucleotides) under Salmonella enterica. RNAcentral's name for it is "partial 23S ribosomal RNA". It matches the Rfam family "Bacterial large subunit ribosomal RNA", at positions 711 to 1271 of the family's 2925-position model. The record is from RNAcentral. Lineage: Bacteria; Pseudomonadati; Pseudomonadota; Gammaproteobacteria; Enterobacterales; Enterobacteriaceae.
AGACCCGAAACCCGGUGAUCUAGCCAUGGGCAGGUUGAAGGUUGGGUAACACUAACUGGAGGACCGAACCGACUAAUGUUGAAAAAUUAGCGGAUGACCUGUGGCUGGGGGUGAAAGGCCAAUCAAACCGGGAGAUAGCUGGUUCUCCCCGAAAGCUAUUUAGGUAGCGCCUCGUGAAUUCAUCUCCGGGGGUAGAGCACUGUUUCGGCUAGGGGGCCAUCCCGGCUUACCAACCCGAUGCAAACUGCGAAUACCGGAGAAUGUUAUCACGGGAGACACACGGCGGGUGCUAACGUCCGUCGUGAAGAGGGAAACAACCCAGACCGCCAGCUAAGGUCCCAAAGUCAUGGUUAAGUGGGAAACGAUGUGGGAAGGCCCAGACAGCCAGGAUGUUGGCUUAGAAGCAGCCAUCAUUUAAAGAAAGCGUAAUAGCUCACUGGUCGAGUCGGCCUGCGCGGAAGAUGUAACGGGGCUAAACCAUGCACCGAAGCUGCGGCAGCGACACUGUGUGUUGUUGGGUAGGGGAGCGUUCUGUAAGCCUGUGAAGGUGUGUCGUGAGGCAU